Molecule: long non-coding RNA, 717 nt
Organism: Pectinophora gossypiella (pink bollworm)
Lineage: Eukaryota; Metazoa; Arthropoda; Insecta; Lepidoptera; Gelechiidae
Exons: 3
Source: RefSeq, a predicted model, not a curated record
GGGCUGCACACUCAAAGAGAGGUAUUAGAAAGAUAUUAGAGAGGUAUUACAUCUAUCCACCAAUUUUUCGUCAAUCUCGACUUUUUAUUCAACCAAAAAUCGACCCUAUUAUUACUGUACUGUGAUCGUUAUUUGUAGGGUCGUAUGCUGAUUGUGGUUUUACCACGGUAAAACCAAGAUCACCUAUAGACAAAAUUAUUGCCGACGAAGUUUAUAAAAAACGACCUUAUUAUUAUUGCACUGUGAUCGUUAUUUGUAGAGUGAAAGCUGAUUGUCUAUUUGUGAUCGUAGUUUUACCACGGUAUUCCGUCAGUCAGCAUACGGCCCUACAAAUAACGAUCGCAUUGUAGUAAUAAUAAGGUCGAUUUUUGUUAGAAUAAAAAGUCAUGAUUGACGAAUGUUGGAUAGAUGUAAUAAUUAUCUCUCUAUUUAAUUUGUUCAUGGUGGCUACUCGAAGCGUGCAUAUCUUUGUGUGGAAGUAAAAAACCCAAGGAUUAUACGUAUGCUCAACUUGGACAAAAUCGAAGAUGGUUUACACAGAAGCAGAUCCUACCUACCUACCUACCCUACCUACCUACCUACCUGACGACCUACUUGACAUUCCACUAAUACUGCAACCCAAUCCAGUACAACCCAGUGGAAGAAUGACCAGAAAUGCAAAAAUAUUUCAAGAAACUAUGGGAUAUCUUCUCGUCGUAGUCAACAUGAGACACAUUC